GACGAGCGCUGGCGGCGUGCUUAACACGUGCGAGUCGAGCGAGGAGGCCGAGCUUGCUAGGUGGAUUAGUGGCGAACGGGGGAGUAAUACGUGAGUAACCUACCUUUAACUCUGGGAUAAGCCUGGGAAACUGGGUCUAAUACCGGAUACGACCAAUCUCCGCAUGGGGUGUUGGUGGAAAGCGUUAUGUAGUGGUUAUAGAUGGGCUCACGGCCUAUCAGCUUGUUGGUGAGGUAACGGCUCACCAAGGCGACGACGGGUAGCCGGCCUGAGAGGGUGACCGGCCACACUGGGACUGAGACACGGCCCAGACUCCUACGGGAGGCAGCAGUGGGGAAUAUUGCACAAUGGGCGCAAGCCUGAUGCAGCGACGCCGCGUGAGGGAUGACGGCCUUCGGGUUGUAAACCUCUGUUAGCAGGGAAGAAGAGAAAUUGACGGUACCUGCAGAGAAAGCGCCGGCUAACUACGUGCCAGCAGCCGCGGUAAUACGUAGGGCGCGAGCGUUGUCCGGAAUUAUUGGGCGUAAAGAGCUUGUAGGCGGUUUGUCGCGUCUGCUGUGAAGGCCGGGGCUUAACCCCGUGUAUUGCAGUGGGUACGGGCAGACUAGAGUGCAGUAGGGGAGACUGGAACUCCUGGUGUGGCGGUGGAAUGCGCAGAUAUCAGGAAGAACACCGAUGGCGAAGGCAGGUCUCUGGGCUGUAACUGACGCUGAGAAGCGAAAGCAUGGGGAGCGAACAGGAUUAGAUACCCUGGUAGUCCAUGCCGUAAACGUUGGGCACUAGGUGUGGGGGACAUUCCACGUUUUCCGCGCCGUAGCUAACGCAUUAAGUGCCCCGCCUGGGGAGUACGGCCGCAAGGCUAAAACUCAAAGAAAUUGACGGGGGCCCGCACAAGCGGCGGAGCAUGCGGAUUAAUUCGAUGCAACGCGAAGAACCUUACCAAGGCUUGACAUAUACUGGACCGCAUCAGAGAUGGUGUUUCCCUUCGGGGCUGGUAUACAGGUGGUGCAUGGUUGUCGUCAGCUCGUGUCGUGAGAUGUUGGGUUAAGUCCCGCAACGAGCGCAACCCUCGUUCUAUGUUGCCAGCACGUUAUGGUGGGGACUCAUAGGAGACUGCCGGGGUCAACUCGGAGGAAGGUGGGGAUGACGUCAAAUCAUCAUGCCCCUUAUGUCUUGGGCUUCACGCAUGCUACAAUGGCCGGUACAGAGGGUUGCGAUACUGUGAGGUGGAGCUAAUCCCUAAAAGCCGGUCUCAGUUCGGAUUGGGGUCUGCAACUCGACCCCAUGAAGUCGGAGUCGCUAGUAAUCGCAGAUCAGCAACGCUGCGGUGAAUACGUUCCCGGGCCU
This 1347-nucleotide ribosomal RNA is filed under the name uncultured bacterium. RNAcentral's name for it is "bacterial SSU rRNA". It matches the Rfam family "Bacterial small subunit ribosomal RNA", at positions 28 to 1381 of the family's 1533-position model. The record is from RNAcentral.